Molecule: ribosomal RNA, 451 nt
Filed under: uncultured Anaerolineaceae bacterium
Lineage: Bacteria; Bacillati; Chloroflexota; Anaerolineae; Anaerolineales; Anaerolineaceae
Description: bacterial SSU rRNA
Rfam family: Bacterial small subunit ribosomal RNA
Source: RNAcentral
CCCGCACAAGCAGCGGAGCGUGUUGGUUUAAUUCGAUGUUACACGAAGACCUUUACCAGGGUUUGACAUGCAAGUGGUAGGAAGCCGAAAGGUGACCGACCCUUCGGGGAGCUUGCACAGGUGCUGCAUGGCUGUCGUCAGCUCGUGUCGUGAGAUGUUCGGUUAAGUCCGCUAACGAGCGCAACCCUCGCUGUGUGUUAUAUGUGUCACACGGGACUGCCGGUCUUAAGCCGGAGGAAGGUGGGGAUGAUGUCAAGUCAGCAUGGCCUUUAUAUCCAGGGCUACACACACGCUACAAUGGUCAGUACAAUGGGUUGCCAAGCCGCGAGGCGGAGCCAAUCCUAAAAAGCUGGCCUCAGUUCAGAUUGCAGUCUGAAACUCGACUGCAUGAAGUCGGAGUUGCUAGUAAACGCAGGUCAGCUAUACUGCGUUGAAUACGUUCCCGGGGCUU